Molecule: ribosomal RNA, 494 nt
Filed under: uncultured bacterium
Lineage: Bacteria
Description: partial 16S ribosomal RNA
Rfam family: Bacterial small subunit ribosomal RNA
Source: RNAcentral
GACGAACGCUGGCGGCGUGCUUAACACAUGCAAGUCGAACGGUGAAGCGCCUUCCUUUUUGGUGGGUGUGGAUGAGUGGCGAACGGGUGAGUAACACGUGAGUAACCUGCCCCCUUCUUCUGGAUAACCGCAUGAAAGUGUGGCUAAUACGGGAUAUUCUGGGUCUGUCGCAUGAUGGGUCUGGGAAAGAUAUUGUUUCGGUGGGGGAUGGUCUCGCGGCCUAUCAGCUUGUUGGUGGGGUGAUGGCCUACCAAGGCGGUGACGGGUAGCCGGCCUGAGAGGGUGGACGGUCACACUGGGACUGAGACACGGCCCAGACUACGACGGGAGGCAGCAGGGGGGAAUAUUGCACAAUGGGCGGAAGGAUGAUGCAGCGACGCCGCGUGAGGGAUGGAGGCCUUCGGGUUGUGAACAUCUUUCGCCAGUGAAGCAGGCCUGCCUCGUUUGUGGGUGGGUUGACGGUAGCUGGAUAAGAAGCGCCGGCUAACUACGUG